AUUAUACCGUGAAACUGCGAAUGGCUCAUUAAAUCAGUUAUCGUUUAUUUGAUUAUACCUUACUACUUGGAUAACCGUGGUAAUUCUAGAGCUAAUACAUGCUGAAAAUCCCGACUUCGGAAGGGAUGUGUUUAUUAGAUAAAAAACCAAUGCCCUUCGGGGCUUUUUGGUGAUUCAUGAUAACUUUACGGAUCGCAUAGCCUUGCGCUGGCGACGGUUCAUUCAAAUUUCUGCCCUAUCAACUUUCGAUGGUAAGGUAUUGGCUUACCAUGGUUUCAACGGGUAACGGGGAAUAAGGGUUCGAUUCCGGAGAGGGAGCCUGAGAAACGGCUACCACAUCCAAGGAAGGCAGCAGGCGCGCAAAUUACCCAAUCCCGACACGGGGAGGUAGUGACAAUAAAUACUGAUACAGGGCUCUUUUGGGUCUUGUAAUUGGAAUGAGUACAAUUUAAACCUCUUAACGAGGAACAAUUGGAGGGCAAGUCUGGUGCCAGCAGCCGCGGUAAUUCCAGCUCCAAUAGCGUAUAUUAAAGUUGUUGCAGUUAAAAAGCUCGUAGUUGAAACUUGGGUCUGGCUGGCGGGUCCGCCUCACCGCGUGCACUCGUCCGGCCGGGCCUUCCUUCUGAAGAACCUCAUGCCCUUCACUGGGCGUGUUGGGGAAUCAGGACUUUUACUUUGAAAAAAUUAGAGUGUUCAAAGCAGGCCUUUGCUCGAAUACGUUAGCAUGGAAUAAUAAAAUAGGACGUGCGUUCCUAUUUUGUUGGUUUCUAGGAACGCCGUAAUGAUUAACAGGAACAGUCGGGGGCGUCAGUAUUCAGUUGUCAGAGGUGAAAUUCUUGGAUUUACUGAAGACUAACUACUGCGAAGGCAUUCGCCAAGGAUGUUUUCAUUAAUCAGUGAACGAAAGUUAGGGGAUCGAAGACGAUCAGAUACCGUCGUAGUCUUAACCGUAAACUAUGCCGACUAGGGAUCGGGCGAUGUUCUUUUUCUGACUCGCUCGGCACCUUACGAGAAAUCAAAGUUUUUGGG
Molecule: ribosomal RNA, 1029 nt
Filed under: Tamaricicola muriformis
Lineage: Eukaryota; Fungi; Ascomycota; Dothideomycetes; Pleosporales; Pleosporaceae
Description: SSU rRNA
Rfam family: Eukaryotic small subunit ribosomal RNA
Source: RNAcentral